RNAcentral lists this ribosomal RNA (261 nucleotides) under uncultured bacterium. RNAcentral's name for it is "partial 16S ribosomal RNA". It matches the Rfam family "Bacterial small subunit ribosomal RNA", at positions 524 to 776 of the family's 1533-position model. The record is from RNAcentral.
UACGUAGGGUGCGAGCGUUGUCCGGAAUUAUUGGGCGUAAAGGGCUCGAUAGGCGGUUUGUCGCGUCGGGAGUGAAAUCCACUGGACUUCGAACUGGUGGCUUGCUUUCGAUUACGGGCAGACUGAGGUAUGCAGGGGAGAACGGGAAUUCCUGGUGUAGCGGUGAAAUGACGCAGAUAUCAGGAGGAACACCGGUGGCGAAGGCGGGUCGUCUCGGGCAACUACUGACGCUGAGGAGCGAAAGUGUGGGGAGCGAACAGG